GGCUAUCUAGAGAUAUUUCCUCCCCAUUUAACCCUUUCACUGACCUAUUUCCCAACCCUUUCAUUUAUCCCCAAAUCAACAAGAAAUCCCGUCAGAAGCGAACAGCGAGGAAAAUUCUUGGGAAUUUGUCAAUGAGAAACGUUGAGAUUAUUUUUAUCCCUCUUCGUCCGAAACCAAUUCCACCUUCCACGAUACAGUACCAAUCCUUAAAAUCCCACAAAGUGCGGUGUCAUAGUGGACAACUUAUGUGAUUUCUUCUUUGUUGAUUUGUAAAAUCUUCUUACCCACGGCUUGCUAUGUCGUAGUGGGUUAAUUGAGGAAGGAAAAGAAAUAGUAGAUAUGAUGGACGUAGAAGUAUUGGUAGAAUCUAAUAAUGAGAACUUGUUGGACAAUGUAAUCACAAUGGAAGGUGAUAAUUUAGGAGGAGAUGUUGUGAAUUUUCUAAGGUGGGUAUGAAGUUUAACGAUGAAAAAGAGCUGUUUGAAUUCUACAAAUAAUAUGCCUACGACGUAGGUUUUUCGACGAGGAGAAGAAUUCUAGGAAGGAUGGGGAUGGAAUGGUAUGAUAUGUUACGCUGACUUGUAGUCAUGAGAGACGAAAAAGCUAUAACACAAGAACUUCUUUAAGGCCACAACCAACAAUUCAAACGGGUUGUAAAGCAAUGCUAAUUGCUUCCUCAGAUAUUCAUGAAAUAUGGAAAAUUUGCACAAUUGACCUUGAGCACAGUCAUAAAACAAGACCGUCAAAAUCUAGGUUGUAUCGUUACAACCGAGAAUUGAGUGCACAUGUGAAACGAAAGCUAGAGAUAAAUGAUACGGCCAGAAGAGUUACAACUAUGCAGUUGUUGAAGCCGGUGGAUAUAAGAAUGUGACGUUCAUAGAAAAUGAUUGUAGAAAUUACGUUGAACAAGUGAAGCGAUUAAAACUAGGUGAAGGAGAUGUCGUAGCAAUACAAUCGUACUUUUCACUAAUGCAAGCAUCUUGCUUUGGGUUUUAUUUUUCUAUGGAUUUAGACAACUAGUCACGACUUAAUAAUCUUUUCUGGGCGAACAAAAGGUAUAGGCAAGCGUCUAAGGAGUUCGAGGACGUAAUGUCGUUUGACCAAUAUUCACACAUGGCAAUGCACAUCAAUAGGCGGUUGUGUCUUGUAAUGCAAGCACGUGAUGGUAGUAUGGAUUUGUAGUUAGAAGCUAUGUGUUUAUGUCGGGGUUGUAAAGAAGUAUGAUGCAUUUGUUUGUUACAUUAAUAAGCUGUGUGUUUCAGUUUGUUUGUCGGGUUUGGCAUUCAUUUAUGUUACUAGUUUUCAUUGUAUAAUGUUUUAUUUUAUACCCAUGAGUCCAUGAAUUUUUUUGUUUUUAUUUUGCCUCUAUGCUUACUAUGCACAAGAAUGACUUAAUUUUGAGUAAUGGUCCAUCUUUUUGUCACAAUCAAUCCCAGUAAGUCUUGAGCUU
This is a long non-coding RNA of Olea europaea var. sylvestris, 1450 nucleotides long. RefSeq lists it as uncharacterized. NCBI's taxonomy places the organism in Eukaryota, Viridiplantae, Streptophyta, Magnoliopsida, Lamiales, Oleaceae. The transcript is spliced from 2 exons. The record is from RefSeq and is a predicted model, not a curated record.